CAAGUCGAGCGAAUGGAUUGAGAGCUUGCUCUCAAGAAGUUAGCGGCGGACGGGUGAGUAACACGUGGGUAACCUGCCCAUAAGACUGGGAUAACUCCGGGAAACCGGGGCUAAUACCGGAUAACAUUUUGAACUGCAUAGUUCGAAAUUGAAAGGCGGCUUCGGCUGUCACUUAUGGAUGGACCCGCGUCGCAUUAGCUAGUUGGUGAGGUAACGGCUCACCAAGGCAACGAUGCGUAGCCGACCUGAGAGGGUGAUCGGCCACACUGGGACUGAGACACGGCCCAGACUCCUACGGGAGGCAGCAGUAGGGAAUCUUCCGCAAUGGACGAAAGUCUGACGGAGCAACGCCGCGUGAGUGAUGAAGGCUUUCGGGUCGUAAAACUCUGUUGUUAGGGAAGAACAAGUGCUAUGU
RNAcentral lists this ribosomal RNA (415 nucleotides) under Bacillus sp. ITRH81. RNAcentral describes it as "bacterial SSU rRNA". It matches the Rfam family "Bacterial small subunit ribosomal RNA", at positions 58 to 461 of the family's 1533-position model. The record is from RNAcentral. Lineage: Bacteria; Bacillati; Bacillota; Bacilli; Caryophanales; Bacillaceae.